GAUAAACGUUUGCGGCGUGCCUGAUGCAUGCAAGUCGAACGCCCUGAUUUUUCGCAAGAAGUAUCAGGGAGUGGCGAACGGCUGAGUAACGCGUAAGUAACCUACCCUUGAGUGGGGGAUAACUUGCCGAAAGGCAGGCUAAUACCGCAUAUGCUGGUAAACGCCAGUUUAUCAGUAAAGCUUUUGCGCUCGGGGAGGGGCUUGCGUCUGAUUAGAUAGUUGGCAGGGUAAUGGCCUACCAAGUCGAUGAUCAGUAGCUGGUCUGAGAGGACAACCAGCCAGACGGGGACUGAGACACGGCCCUGACUCCUACGGGAGGCUG
This 322-nucleotide ribosomal RNA is filed under the name uncultured Chloroflexota bacterium. RNAcentral describes it as "bacterial SSU rRNA". It matches the Rfam family "Bacterial small subunit ribosomal RNA", at positions 28 to 351 of the family's 1533-position model. The record is from RNAcentral. Lineage: Bacteria; Bacillati; Chloroflexota.